CUCCGGUGAUCCCUGCCGGACCCGACUGCUAUCAGAGUGGGACUAAGCCAUGCGAGUCAACGUAGCAAUACGUGGCAUACGGCUCAGUAACACGUAGUCAACAUGCCCAGGGGACGAGGAUAACCUCGGGAAACUGAGGAUAAACCUCGAUAGGCCAUGAUUUCUGGAAUGAUUCUUGGCUCAAACCUAUAUGGCCCCUGGAUUGGACUGCGGCCGAUCAGGCUGUUGGUGAGGUAAUGGCCCACCAAACCUAUUACCGGUACGGGCUCUGAGAGGAGGAGCCCGGAGAUGGGCACUGAGACAAGGGCCCAGGCCCUAUGGGGCGCAGCAGGCGCGAAACCUCUGCAAUAGGCGAAAGCUUGACAGGGUUACUCUGAGUGAUUUCCGCUAAGGGAAUCUUUUGGCACCUCUAAAAAUGGUGCAGAAUAAGGGGUGGGCAAGUCUGGUGUCAGCCGCCGCGGUAAUACCAGCACCCCGAGUGGUCGGGACGAUUAUUGGGCCUAAAGCAUCCGUAGCCGGUCCUGCAAGUCUUCCGUUAAAUCCAGCUGCUCAACAGAUGGGCUGCGGGAGAUACUACAGGGCUAGGAGGCGGGAGAGGCAAGCGGUACUUUAUGGGUAGGGGUAAAAUCCGCUGAUCCAUAGAAGACCACCAGUGGCGAAGGCGGCUUGCCAGAACGCGCUCGACGGUGAGGGAUGAAAGCUGGGGGAGCAAACCGGAUUAGAUACCCGGGUAGUCCCAGCUGUAAACGAUGCAGACUCGGUGAUGGGUUGGCCUCGCGCCUGCCCAGUGCCGCAGGGAAGCCGUUAAGUCUGCCGCCUGGGGAGUACGGUCGCAAGACUGAAACUUAAAGGAUUGGCGGGGGAGCA
RNAcentral lists this ribosomal RNA (867 nucleotides) under uncultured archaeon. RNAcentral describes it as "bacterial SSU rRNA". It matches the Rfam family "Archaeal small subunit ribosomal RNA", at positions 1 to 878 of the family's 1478-position model. The record is from RNAcentral.